AUCACAUCACUCCCCUCCUCCCAAACUUCAUUCCUCAUCUCCUCCUCCCAAACCCUAGAGCGGCGGCAACUGAUGGAGAGAUUGUUCUUCAACGAUUCUGAUUUUUCUUGAGCAAUCAAUUAUCAGCAUCGAAGGUUAUGUAAAGGAUGGAGAUUGUUCGAGAAAGAUUUGGAAAUCGACAGAUAAACUUAGAUCUAGUUUUUCUGUUAGAGAUAAAGUUUGUUUUAUUAGAUUAGUUUUAUUUGAAUUAUCUUACUAUGCAAAGGUUUGAUUUCUAUUUAUCUCGAUUUUAUUAAUUGAUUUUUGGAGAUGAAAGUGUUUGCGUGUUUAAUCGAGGGUUAUAAGUUUCUGAUGCAGUGAUUCUGAUUCAACGAUGUUUGCUUGCAUAGCAUUUCAUGUCCGAAAUUCAAUCGACGGAGAUUCAUUUUAACCGAUAAGAGUGAUUGAACAAGAAACCCUAAUUGCUGGAAACCGUCCUUCUAGUAUCACCUGAGUGAGUGACAGGGCCUGGGGGGAGAAGUGUUCAAAAUAUCUGGAUAUUCUUGUGUUUCUAAUCUACAAAGAAUAAACAAUGGUCAAGAGCGCUUAACUUUGAGGUUUCGUGCUAGGGGAAGUCAUCACUCCGGCAGUUGUUGCAUUUGUGGCAUCAAUGCAGUGAUGUGAGAGGCAACAAUAUAACUGGUACAAUCCCUGAAAACAUCAGAAAAUGUACAAGUUUCGAGAUCUUGUUUGGUUCAUAUUUCUGUUAGCCUGUCAUUGCUAGUUUAGGAGAAUAUGGGGUUUGCCUUGAAGUUCAGUGAGCUUGUUAAAUACAUCCAUGGGUAUUCAACAAUGUUGCUGAAAUUAUGGAUGAUGGUUCCGCACAUGUAUCAACUCAUUUCCUCUAGGUGCUGAGUCGUAUUGUUGGAGCAGGUGAGGUGAAGUGCUGCAGAUUUGCAAUAGAAACAUUAUGCAAGAGAAUGCAGAGACUGUUAUGCGGUGCUACAGAUUUUCAAUAGAACCAUUACGCAAGAGAAGGAAGAGACUGUUAUGUGAGUUCCGCAUUUGUUAGUUUUAUCUUAUAUGCUCUUAAGUUAUAAACAAAUGUUGUAUGAGCUUUGGGCCGCACAUAACUUAGGCAUUCUCUUAUAUAAGUUUCUAAGCAGAUGUUGCAUUCCCUCAAAACUUAAGAAUUCUCUCAAGUUGUUGAAAGAAUAGAACAAGUUAUUAUUAUUAUAAAAUGUAUAAUAGAAUUUGUAUGGAUUGAAUGGCAGACUUGUGCAGCUAAUUGAAUUUAGA
This is a long non-coding RNA of Papaver somniferum (opium poppy), 1278 nucleotides long. RefSeq lists it as uncharacterized. The transcript is spliced from 7 exons. The record is from RefSeq and is a predicted model, not a curated record. Lineage: Eukaryota; Viridiplantae; Streptophyta; Magnoliopsida; Ranunculales; Papaveraceae.